Molecule: long non-coding RNA, 302 nt
Organism: Gasterosteus aculeatus aculeatus (three-spined stickleback)
Lineage: Eukaryota; Metazoa; Chordata; Actinopteri; Perciformes; Gasterosteidae
Source: Ensembl
GAUUGUGAGUUGUAGGUAGUGACAUUGUUGUGGGACGACGGAGUGAACAACUCAAAGCAGGCUCUGGUUGGCCAGUUGGUGGCACAAAUGUGAAUGGUAAUGGGCCGCAAAGGGCAAUGAGAGAGCUGUCUCCUAAUGAGCCCUCCAUAAAGAAGGCCCUUACGCUUCACCAGUCUGAGUCUGUGUUCCUGCGGAAGUCAAAAGAAGGUAAGUUCUGCUUAACCCUAUUUGAUUCAUGUUUGUGUACGGCUCAGGUUCUUGAGGUCCAUAUUUCAUUGAGGCUUUGACUGGCUUUUGGUAUU